Molecule: ribosomal RNA, 276 nt
Filed under: uncultured bacterium
Lineage: Bacteria
Description: partial 16S ribosomal RNA
Rfam family: Bacterial small subunit ribosomal RNA
Source: RNAcentral
AACGAACGCUGGCGGCAGGCCUAACACAUGCAAGUCGAACGGACGUAGCAAUACGUCAGUGGCGGACGGGUGAGUAACACGUGGGAAUAUGCCUUUCGGUUCGGAACAACUCGGGGAAACCCGCGCUAAUUCCGGAUACGCCCUUACGGGAAGGAUUUAUCGCCGAAGAUUAGCCGCGUCCGAUUAGCUAGUUGGUGAGGUAAAGGCUCACCAAGGCACCGAUCGGUAGCUGGUUUGUAGAGAACGACCAGCCACACUGGGACUGAGACACGGCCC